Molecule: long non-coding RNA, 428 nt
Organism: Myodes glareolus (Bank vole)
Lineage: Eukaryota; Metazoa; Chordata; Mammalia; Rodentia; Cricetidae
Source: RefSeq, a predicted model, not a curated record
AUCCCCUCCGCCGGGCGGCUCACGGCACUACCUCCGCGGUGCCACUAGAAGCUGGCGAGCUGAUCCCGGAUCUAAGACCUAAGAUCCGGGAUCCUCGCCCGCUGCCUCCGGCUUCCGAGGCCUCAGGGCAUGUAGAUGGGUUCAGGGAGUGGCACUUGGUGCCGUCAAGGAAAAGCAGCUAGAACCAGCUGAAUUCAGCCUCCGAGACCCCGUCCCAGCUGCUUUUGAUAGCACCUUCUCCGGCUUUCCUGGGGGCUCCUGUGAAAUCUGCUAGUUUGGUUUCCGCUGGGUGCCUCAGGAGCCCCCUCGUGAGGAAAUUUGGUUUAGACCGUUCCACGACUCACCAAAGACCCAGAGCAAUUCUCAAAAUCAUUGCAUUAUGAAAAAAAACGGCCUUGGUAGACUACAAUAAAAACUGUACAUUAACA